UAAAAAGCACAGCCUGCAUCUUAACAGGAAGUUACAGAUUAAUAAACAGCUGACGGAACACACUGAGCAGCGUCCAGUGAGUCACCAGUGGACCUUUCGAUUGCUGUUUCAACCGGUAACGGGGGAGAGAAGAUCGGGACGAGACAUUCCUCGUUGGCGGAAGGUUUUGCAGAGAUGCUGCAAAGCUCUGGGAUUCAGGUCAUUGCCUAUUUUACUGCUCUGGAGAAGUCCGGGAGCAGGAAACAGCCAUAACAAAACUAAAGGAACAGAGGCCAAGCCUUGGGCUCCGGCUGUCACAGCCGAGUCCUGCCACGGGGAGAACUUCUCAGAAGCAAAUGCUAAACGCCAGCACCAGGGAAGCCUUCCCAGCCAGACAGGAUCAUGGGAGUUCAUGCGCGGCGAGGACAGCACGUAGACUCCUAAGUACAAUAAUGACCGAAUGACCUGUAGGUGUAAUCUUCUCUGCUGGGAAAUGAAGGGGCCACGGGGACAAGUGAGAAGUGGCAUCAGUGAACUGAAUUUUCUUAUGUUGGCUGUUCCAUUUUUGUGUUUGAAAAUAGACUGUGGUUCAUUUUGUAUAAUGUUGCUAAAUAAUAUGAUUAAAAAGGCAAAAAUUUAAAAAAAACAAAAACCAGCUUAAGAGGACUCAGCUGUGUCUGAGACCCAGCGAAGCACCAAGCAGCGGUACACCUUG
Molecule: long non-coding RNA, 694 nt
Organism: Tupaia belangeri chinensis (Chinese tree shrew)
Lineage: Eukaryota; Metazoa; Chordata; Mammalia; Scandentia; Tupaiidae
Exons: 4
Source: RefSeq, a predicted model, not a curated record